CCUAGCAGGCUAAGUGCCGGUGAACUGGAUUAGGCUAUAAGCCUAGCAGGCUAAGUGCUGGUGAUCUGAAUCAGGCUUUAAGCCUAACAAGCUAAGUGCCAGCGAAUCUGUUUAUAUUAAGUGAUUAUUUGCAUUGGGUAUAUAUAUGAUUUUGGUUAUAUGUAAUGGAUAAAUAUAUGAACAUUUGUUUCUAAGUAUUUGAUGAGCAUAUAAACGUUCAAAUCUUUGUGUUUAGUGAGUAUAUAUAUAUGUUGGUUAUCAUGAAAUUGUUGGAUAUAUAUAUGUGUAUGCACUCGACAUAUGUGGAUUAUAGUAAAAAUAUAUAUGUGCAUUCGGCACAUGUGGUUGAUAAGAAUAAGUAUAUGCUUUUGGCAUAUGUAUUUGAAUAAUAUAUGUAAUACCUGGCCUGGCCUAUUAACGAAUAAACCCAAACAAAAAAAUACAAGCCCAAUAAACGAGCCCAAUAGCCAAUUCCUAAGCCAAGCCCGAAACUAAUGGAAAAGGGAAGGGUUGAGAAACCCUAGCAGCAGCCCCCGCCUCCAGCAGUCCCAAUCGGCGCACAACUCGGAGCUAGAGGCCUCCUCCGCGAGAGUUGCGCCUCCACGUCGCGCGUAGUCUCCUCCAACAGUACCUGCAGCAACAAGAUAGCAAAAAUCAUGCCAACAAAACAGAAUAGAUCUUUUUUUUAUUUUGUUGAUUUAUCUUUUCCAUUUCGGCUAUUUAAAGGCCGAUUUAAAUCAUGUAAAUGGGGGGAUUUUCAGUGGAAAAGGCAUACGAAAAUAGGGGGAAGUUAGUGUGAAGAAGAUAUAGAGAGAAAAUAUACUGAAAAAGUUUUUUCGAAGGUGAAUCGCUUUUAGUUUUUCUGUUCUUUUUUUAUUUUUCCAUUUAUUUUUCCAUUUAAAAUAAAAAGGAGAAGGAAAAGAAAACUUACCCGAGUCGGGAUCGGGAUCGGCGUCGGAUUUCGGACCGAUUGAAUCGCUUGAACGGCGGCGCAAAAGGGGGCUAGGGCCGAAACCCUAGCAGAGGAAAAGAGGCGGCCCUCCUUUGUUUUUUUAAGGGACCCUGCAAAU
RNAcentral lists this long non-coding RNA (1070 nucleotides) under Gossypium barbadense (sea-island cotton). RNAcentral's name for it is "long non-coding RNA (GBAR_LNC022646)". Lineage: Eukaryota; Viridiplantae; Streptophyta; Magnoliopsida; Malvales; Malvaceae. The record is from RNAcentral.